RNAcentral lists this ribosomal RNA (486 nucleotides) under uncultured bacterium. RNAcentral's name for it is "partial 16S ribosomal RNA". The stretch from base 75 to 486 matches the Rfam family "Bacterial small subunit ribosomal RNA", at positions 39 to 456 of the family's 1533-position model. The record is from RNAcentral.
CUAUGACCAUGAUUACGCCAAGCUUGGUACCGAGCUCGGAUCCACUAGUAACGGCCGCCAGUGUGCUGGAAUUCGCCCUUCAGGCCUAACACAUGCAAGUCGAGCGGACGAAGAUUGAAGCUUGCUUCAGUCCAAGUUAGCGGCGGACGGGUGAGUAACACGUAGGAAUCUGCCUUCAGGCGGGGGACAACGGAACGAAAGUUGCGCUAAUACCCCAUAUGCGAGUAAUCGUAAAAGGAGCAAUCCACCGGAAGAUGAGCCUGCGUCCGAUUAGCUAGUUGGUAGGGUAAGAGCCUACCAAGGCUACGAUCGGUAGUUGGUCUGAGAGGAUGAUCAGCCACAAUGGAACUGAGACACGGUCCAUACUCCUACGGGAGGCAGCAGUGGGGAAUUUUACGCAAUGGGCGAAAGCCUGACGUAGCGACACCGCGUGAGCGAAGAAGCCUUUUGGGGUGUAAAGCUCUGUCAGCUGGAACGAACACAAUG